GUCUGUGUUUUUUUUUUUUUUUUUUUUUUUGUCAUGGCAGCCCAGAGCUGACAAAUACACUAUAGUACUUUAACUCCAUUCCAUGCAGUAACAAGUUAAAUGUUAGAAUGUGAGGAUUUUAUUUUUAGUUCAAUUAUUAUCUUACUAUUUAACCUUAAAAAUCCAUUUUUCCACCUCAUUCACCACAGUGAUUUGCAAGAUAUCUGAAUUAGACAAUAACUUUAAUGAGCCUUAUUUCUUUCAAGUAUACAGAUUCGACAGUGUCAGAGGAGAGCUUAAUGAUCAUCCAGUAAAAAUGAUUUAUUUUAUAAAUGAGAAAAUUGAAGUCCAAAGAGCUAUUUGGUCUUAGGGCCUAGAUGAAAGCCAAUAUCCCUGGAUCCUCAAUCCUGCUGAUUGUUUCCUGAUGCCAACGUAUGGCACCAACUCCAAGUUCUCGACUGCCUAGAAGCCAGCUGGUUGGAAUACAGCUAUAUUGAUCCCCAUUUUAUUAUUCACUGAGCGGAAGGGAGAGGUGGGCAGGCUGGCCAGGGCUGAGUUGCUGUGCAGAAUCCUCAGAAUCAAACGGAAGAUUCUCCUAUGGUGGAGACACGAAGAUAAAUUUAAGGAAAAUGUAUGAGGAGGGAGCAUUUUACAGUGAACAGAGUUCAGGCUUUGGACACCAGGCCUUCCUUGGCUGCCUCUAUCCUGGGCAACUUACAUCAAUUCUCUGUGCCUCAGCUUACAAUUACUGAGUGACUUCCUAUAAAAGUCACAGAAGACUGCCCGUCAGAGGAGAGAAGGCGCUGACGUUCUUGCCAGAUGCGGUGUGACAGGUGGUGUCUAGAAGUUUCCCUGUGCCAUUUUGUUCCUCUGCACGAGAGGUCAGCCUGAUUGUGAUGAGGAGGAGCUCAGAUUUUGAGAAGUUAACUAGACCUUCCAGACCUCAGCUGAGAACCAGAGCACAGAUGGGUAAGGAAGCAGCCAAGGCCGUGAGUGCCAGCCCACACAUUGGGUUUUGCUGGCCAGACCAAUUUCUUGGGUCACCUAUUGGAAAAUGGAUCACUAAAAGGAAGGCUGGUCGGAGGGGUGUGGACAAAUGUCUCCCUGCUCCGCCAUGAGAUCACAUCCCCUUUUGCAGACCCCGACGGUCCGGGACGGACAGCCUCUUUCCUAUGGGCUCUAGGCAAGCUCUACUUGAAAAUCAGACAUUUGUGUGGACAACUAUGUGUGUGCAUGUGUGUGUGUGAGAGAGAGAGAGAGAGAGAAAGAGAGAAGAGGGAGGGAGAGGUGAGUCAUUAAAAAGUGGUUCAGCUAAAUAAAGGAUCUCAUUAUGU
This is a long non-coding RNA of Canis lupus familiaris (dog), 1313 nucleotides long. RefSeq lists it as uncharacterized. The record is from RefSeq and is a predicted model, not a curated record. Lineage: Eukaryota; Metazoa; Chordata; Mammalia; Carnivora; Canidae. The transcript has 4 exons.